This 1529-nucleotide ribosomal RNA is filed under the name Salmonella enterica subsp. enterica serovar Bovismorbificans. RNAcentral describes it as "partial 23S ribosomal RNA". It matches the Rfam family "Bacterial large subunit ribosomal RNA", at positions 711 to 2141 of the family's 2925-position model. Lineage: Bacteria; Pseudomonadati; Pseudomonadota; Gammaproteobacteria; Enterobacterales; Enterobacteriaceae. The record is from RNAcentral.
AGACCCGAAACCCGGUGAUCUAGCCAUGGGCAGGUUGAAGGUUGGGUAACACUAACUGGAGGACCGAACCGACUAAUGUUGAAAAAUUAGCGGAUGACCUGUGGCUGGGGGUGAAAGGCCAAUCAAACCGGGAGAUAGCUGGUUCUCCCCGAAAGCUAUUUAGGUAGCGCCUCGUGAAUUCAUCUCCGGGGGUAGAGCACUGUUUCGGCUAGGGGGCCAUCCCGGCUUACCAACCCGAUGCAAACUGCGAAUACCGGAGAAUGUUAUCACGGGAGACACACGGCGGGUGCUAACGUCCGUCGUGAAGAGGGAAACAACCCAGACCGCCAGCUAAGGUCCCAAAGUCAUGGUUAAGUGGGAAACGAUGUGGGAAGGCCCAGACAGCCAGGAUGUUGGCUUAGAAGCAGCCAUCAUUUAAAGAAAGCGUAAUAGCUCACUGGUCGAGUCGGCCUGCGCGGAAGAUGUAACGGGGCUAAACCAUGCACCGAAGCUGCGGCAGCGAACGUAUCACUUAAAGCGAUUCAGCGGAUGACGAUUGACGGAGCGAAGCGACGUCAAAGCGUAUACAAAGUCGAGUCGGUUUAAGGAUACGUUCGUUGGGUAGGGGAGCGUUCUGUAAGCCUGUGAAGGUGGCCUGUGAGGGUUGCUGGAGGUAUCAGAAGUGCGAAUGCUGACAUAAGUAACGAUAAAGCGGGUGAAAAGCCCGCUCGCCGGAAGACCAAGGGUUCCUGUCCAACGUUAAUCGGGGCAGGGUGAGUCGACCCCUAAGGCGAGGCCGAAAGGCGUAGUCGAUGGGAAACGGGUUAAUAUUCCCGUACUUGGUGUUACUGCGAAGGGGGGACGGAGAAGGCUAUGUUGGCCGGGCGACGGUUGUCCCGGUUUAAGCGUGUAGGCUGGUUUUCCAGGCAAAUCCGGAAAAUCAAGGCUGAGGCGUGAUGACGAGGCACUACGGUGCUGAAGCAACAAAUGCCCUGCUUCCAGGAAAAGCCUCUAAGCAUCAGGUAACACGAAAUCGUACCCCAAACCGACACAGGUGGUCAGGUAGAGAAUACCAAGGCGCUUGAGAGAACUCGGGUGAAGGAACUAGGCAAAAUGGUGCCGUAACUUCGGGAGAAGGCACGCUGACACGUAGGUGAAGUGAUUUACUCAUGGAGCUGAAGUCAGUCGAAGAUACCAGCUGGCUGCAACUGUUUAUUAAAAACACAGCACUGUGCAAACACGAAAGUGGACGUAUACGGUGUGACGCCUGCCCGGUGCCGGAAGGUUAAUUGAUGGGGUCAGCGCAAGCGAAGCUCCUGAUCGAAGCCCCGGUAAACGGCGGCCGUAACUAUAACGGUCCUAAGGUAGCGAAAUUCCUUGUCGGGUAAGUUCCGACCUGCACGAAUGGCGUAAUGAUGGCCAGGCUGUCUCCACCCGAGACUCAGUGAAAUUGAACUCGCUGUGAAGAUGCAGUGUACCCGCGGCAAGACGGAAAGACCCCGUGAACCUUUACUAUAGCUUGACACUGAACAUUGAGCCUUGAUGUGUAG